CGCGUGAUCCAAGUCAACACGAGGCGCAACAGGCUUCCGUAAGGGACAAUUGUUUCGGACUUAAUAGGGACCAAGAACCCAACCGAUCGCAUUUCCGCAUUCAAGAUUUCUGGCAGCACAUGGACCCCCGACGCUUGCAAGACCAAAUGGAAAAACAAGGGCGGGCGUCCAUUGAAGCUUUCACGGACUGUCUCGCACAAAUUUGGAAGCACGAGACAAAUGAGGGACUGUGGGACUACGAGAUUCCGUCAAAACAGGUACGUUGCACAGGCGACACGGGCAGCCCAAGGGAAAAUAAUCACCUUUCAAACAGAACUGAACAGUCACGAACCAGCGGUUGUCGCUGCCCGGGCAGGGAUCCAACCAACCGGGACGUACC
This 379-nucleotide unclassified non-coding RNA is filed under the name Turgenia lisaeoides. Its description in RNAcentral is "partial external transcribed spacer". The record is from RNAcentral. Lineage: Eukaryota; Viridiplantae; Streptophyta; Magnoliopsida; Apiales; Apiaceae.